Molecule: ribosomal RNA, 465 nt
Filed under: uncultured bacterium
Lineage: Bacteria
Description: partial 16S ribosomal RNA
Rfam family: Bacterial small subunit ribosomal RNA
Source: RNAcentral
GACGAACGCUGGCGGCGUGCUUAACACAUGCAAGUCGUACGGUAAGGCCCUUUCGGGGGUACACGAGUGGCGAACGGGUGCGUAACACGUGAGUAACCUGCCCACAACUUUGGGACAACGCUAGGAAACUGGUGCUAAUACUGGAUAUGUGCUCCUGCUGCAUGGUGGGGGUUGGAAAGCUCCGGCGGUUGUGGAUGGACUCGCGGCCUAUCAGCUUGUUGGUGGGGUAGUGGCCUACCAAGGCGGCGACGGGUAGCCGGCCUGAGAGGGUGACCGGCCACAUUGGGACUGAGAUACGGCCCAGACGCCUACGGGAGGCAGCAGGGGGGAAGAUUGCACAAUGGGCGCAAGCCUGAUGCAGCAACGCCGCGUGCGGGAUGACGGCCUUCGGGUUGUAAACCGCUUUCAGCAGGGACGAAGCUUUUUGUGACGGUACCUGCAGAAGAAGCACCGGCUAACUACGUG